Molecule: unclassified non-coding RNA, 319 nt
Organism: Erinaceus europaeus (western European hedgehog)
Lineage: Eukaryota; Metazoa; Chordata; Mammalia; Eulipotyphla; Erinaceidae
Gene: 7SK
Rfam family: 7SK RNA
About the family: 7SK was discovered as an abundant small nuclear RNA in the mid-70s but a possible function has only recently been suggested. Two independent studies have found that 7SK RNA binds the CDK9/cyclin T complex (known as elongation factor P-TEFb).
Source: Ensembl
UGGCAAUCUAGCUGUGACAUGUCACCCCAUUGAUUAUCAGGGUUUGCUCAGCUAAUUUGGCUGGACAGGUGGUGUCACCUUCCUUUCUCAUCACCCUAUGUGAACUCCUCUGGAAACUGCACUUAGCAGAAAAGGGCAACCUUCUCUGAAGAGCGAAGGAGCAGUCUUUGGUCAAGGGUAUGUGAGUAGCUAUGCUCCCCUGCAAGAACCUCCAAACAAACUCUCAAGGUAGUACAUGUCCUAUACUAUGUUACGGUUUUAUCACUUCUACCCUCUUUUUAUUAAGAACUUUUAUUGUAAAUUCUUACUAUAAAUGAGU